GCAGCGUAUUGUCCGCGCGGGCGCAUUGUCCGGGCCCUGGGCCUUGAACUCUAACCCGACCGCGUAGGACCCUCGCCCCGCCGGGCCUGAGGUGCUGAUCGCUGCGACGGGCCGGGCAGUGGAAGGAGUUCCUGGGGGAGCGGGACCGGCCCCCUGCAGACUCGGGAAGCGCCCGGCCUGGGAAGUAGGGAAGUUGGGAAGCGAGAUGAGACCUCACGCUCUUGAUCAGGCGAGGUGAUGGGAACAGCCCAAGAAAUUCACCCUUGGUGGCCUAGGUCUGCAGUCCUGGCACGGUGGGAGGCCGAGGCAGGAGGAUUCUAAUUUCAAGCCCAGGCUGGGCGACUUAGUGACUCCGUGAGAUCCUGUCGGAAAAAUAAAAAAUGUUUUUCCAAAAGUUAGGGGUGUAGCUGGGAGAAAAGGCCCUGGCUUGUUUCACUGCCCCAGAACCUGCUCUUUAAAAACUUCCUUGAAAAGCAGGGCCCUUUCUGUCUCUUUCAGACAGAUGCUAUCUUUCAACUUCUUCUACUCUUACCCUGUUGUUCCUGGAAUUCAUUCUUGCAUUUUAGAGACUGAGGACUUGCUGUGUCAGACACCUAGCACCAAAGGGCUGGGGCGGAGGGUUCUGUGGGCCUGGCACGGUGUCGAGGGAGGCUGGGCAGGGCACGAGUCAGACUCCAGACCUGGAUCUGCCCCCUGCGACCCCAGGUCCUCUUUGUGCUGUCUGCUCCCCCAGACCACCGCAGAGGGCACACCUAGGGCUCCCCGCAGAGGAGGGUCUCACAUGCUGCUCCGGCUCAUGGGGUGGAAGCUGAGGCUGGGAUCCGAAGGUUGCUGUGACCCUACGUCAUUUCCUUUCCCGCAGUCUUCGACCAGUGGCUUCUUCCAGCCAGCCGGAAUCCGCCCUCUGCCCCCCAGCAGUGCCAAGGCCUGCAGCUUCCUGGGGACCCAGCCAGGACCUUGCUGUGAUCAUUGAUCUUUAUGAAGGACAGAAGAGACCCGCUGGGUGGCAGGGAGCCCAGACCCUCGCAGUGAGCCAAGUGGGUGAGAGACCAGCCGGGGAGGGGGCUGGGCCCGAUGGGGCAGUGCCUUCCCAUGAGUCACACGGGUCACCUGCCUGCCUCCUUCCCUCCCUUUCUUCCUCUCUCCUUUUUUGCAGUACUGGGGAUUGAAUCCAAGGCCUUCACACUGAGCUACAUCCCAUUCACUCAUUCAUUUUUAUUCUUUGACAGACAGCCUCACUAAAACUCUAAAUUGCCGGUGCUGGGCUCCAGCUUACAACCCUCCUGCCUCAGCCUCCCCGGGGCUGGGUUGACAGGCCUGGCUCUGAUGGCAGCUGGGAAACGGACUCAUCGGAGGGGCAGUGAGGAGGAAUCACAGCCAUGGACAGGAUGGAGACUGCGAGGCAGCAGCUGACUGACCUCUCAACCUGUCAGUGGGGAGAAGUUGGCCAUAUUGCUCAGCCUCUAAGGAAACAUUCCAAGCCUCUCAGGGUCAGUCCCCUGGAAUUUCAUGAACGGCCCGCCUCUGCCAACUCUAACUCAGCUCUCCACGACUGCAAAAUAGCACAGAAAAUCGGCUUAUAAGGAGGAAAGCCUGGAUAUGACUGUUUCAGAGGUCCCAGGCCUCGGCCAGCAGCUGCAGCAGCAGCACCACCGGCACUACAGGUGGUAACCAGGUGGUAAUGCACAGCCCAGAGACAAGAAGGGGAAGGGGCGGGGCCAGGGCUACGCCCCCUUGACACGAGCCCCCCCGGGCCCCGCCCCUUAAAGUGCUAGCACCUCCCAACAGCGCUGUUGGCCUGGUGCAUCAGAAACCUCUCCACUGGCUCACGGUUUAGGGGUGCACAUAACUCUGGGGUCGUGGACAAAGCCACUUGCACGGUGUCCGGGGCCUCCAGACGCUGCUCUGGUCAUCCCUGCAGUGACUGCAGCCAUCACAGCGAGGCAGAAGCAGGUUUACCGCUUCACCAUUGCCGGCAAAGACCCGGGGGAACAAGUUUCCUCGCGAGGGGUCGUGGGUUGCAUGCCACAGGUCCGUCCGUCAGCCUCAGGGCAUCUCCACCUGCCUCUCAGAGGCCACCAGCCAGGGCCUGCAGCCUUCACUGCCGCCCCAGGUGCCCGGAUGCUGGCUUCUCAGCAGCACACAGCCCAGCGGCCUGUCUGGCCUGUUGUCCCCGCCUUGUACACGGACGCAGGUCAAGGCCCGAGAAAGGGAUGCUUCACUAGUAUCGAGGAGGUCAGACGGUGGAUCCACAGCAUCCAGGCUGGAGACUACGCACAGCAGUGUGGCUUGCACAGUGGAUUCAGGGCUGUGAGGACUGCGCCGUCCGAAGCGCAGGGCGGAAGGCCAGGGCCAGGCGCUGGCAUAGAGGUCAGCAGGCACAGCCCAGGCGAGCAGGCGGAGAGCGGUCGACCCUCGGGCCUGCCCCUCAGCCGCGCCUGCGCCUGCGCCUGCUGCUGCGGAGGCUGCCAGCGCUCAGACCAGGCAGGGUUGACACCGCACUGUCUCGGGUCACGGCUGGGGACACCGGACGGAGCCCACGGAGCUGAGUAACUCCAGAGUUCGACUUCCACAGCGACCACUUCUGCACUCAGGGGCCUUUUCCCAUCCACAUCUGGGAGAUGCUGAGCCGGCCCAUGGACCUCCAGAACUGCCUGGCCACCUUCCCUGCUGUGCAUGGAAAAGCACUUCUUUUCUUUUUUGGGUUUUUUGAGGUAGGGUCUCGCUGUGUGGUUCAGGCUGAACCUCAACU
This is an RNA transcript of Fukomys damarensis (Damara mole-rat), 2752 nucleotides long. RefSeq lists it as uncharacterized. The transcript has 2 exons. The record is from RefSeq and is a predicted model, not a curated record. NCBI's taxonomy places the organism in Eukaryota, Metazoa, Chordata, Mammalia, Rodentia, Bathyergidae.